RNAcentral lists this ribosomal RNA (372 nucleotides) under uncultured organism. Its description in RNAcentral is "bacterial SSU rRNA". It matches the Rfam family "Bacterial small subunit ribosomal RNA", at positions 526 to 896 of the family's 1533-position model. The record is from RNAcentral.
CGUAGGGUGCGAGCGUUAAUCGGAAUUACUGGGCGUAAAGUGUGCGCAGGCGGCGCUGCAAGUCGAGUGUGAAAUCCCCGAGCUUAACUUGGGAAUUGCGCUCGAAACUACGGCGCUGGAGUAUGGCAGAGGAAGGUGGAAUUCCACGUGUAGCGGUGAAAUGCGUAGAGAUGUGGAGGAACACCGAUGGCGAAGGCAGCCUUCUGGGCCAAUACUGACGCUCACGCACGAAAGCGUGGGGAGCAAACAGGAUUAGAUACCCUGGUAGUCCACGCCCUAAACGAUGAUGACUAGUUGUUGGAGGAGUUAAAUCCUUUAGUAACGCAGCUAACGCGUGAAGUCAUCCGCCUGGGGAGUACGGUCGCAAGAUUA